This 465-nucleotide ribosomal RNA is filed under the name Vreelandella stevensii. RNAcentral describes it as "partial 16S ribosomal RNA". It matches the Rfam family "Bacterial small subunit ribosomal RNA", at positions 338 to 795 of the family's 1533-position model. Lineage: Bacteria; Pseudomonadati; Pseudomonadota; Gammaproteobacteria; Oceanospirillales; Halomonadaceae. The record is from RNAcentral.
CCUACGGGAGGCUGCAGUGGGGAAUAUUGGACAAUGGGCGAAAGCCUGAUCCAGCCAUGCCGCGUGUGUGAAGAAGGCCUUCGGGUUAUAAAGCACUUUCAGUGGGGAAGAAAGCCUUGGGGCUAAUACCCUCGAGGAAGGACAUCACCCACAGAAGAAGCACCGGCUAACUCCGUGCCAGCAGCCGCGGUAAUACGGAGGGUGCGAGCGUUAAUCGGAAUUACUGGGCGUAAAGCGCGCGUAGGCGGUCUGAUAAGCCGGUUGUGAAAGCCCCGGGCUCAACCUGGGAACGGCAUCCGGAACUGUCAGGCUAGAGUGCAGGAGAGGAAGGUAGAAUUCCCGGUGUAGCAGUGAAAUGCGUAGAGAUCGGGAGGAAUACCAGUGGCGAAGGCGGCCUUCUGGACUGACACUGACGCUGAGGUGCGAAAGCGUGGGUAGCAAACAGGAUUAGAUACCCCUGUAGUC